GCGACUGCACAGUAAGUGUGCGACUGCACAGUUAGUGUGCUACCGCACAACUAGUGUGUGACUGCACAGCACACUAACUGUGCAGUCGCACACUUACUGUGCAGUCGC
This 108-nucleotide microRNA precursor is filed under the name Anopheles christyi. Its description in RNAcentral is "microRNA mir-305". Lineage: Eukaryota; Metazoa; Arthropoda; Insecta; Diptera; Culicidae. The record is from RNAcentral.